RNAcentral lists this ribosomal RNA (301 nucleotides) under uncultured bacterium. RNAcentral describes it as "partial 16S ribosomal RNA". It matches the Rfam family "Bacterial small subunit ribosomal RNA", at positions 509 to 808 of the family's 1533-position model. The record is from RNAcentral.
CAGUGCCGCGGGAAUACCGAGGGUGCAAGCGUUAAUCGGAAUUACUGGGCGUAAAGCGCGCGUAGGUGGUUUGUUAAGUUGGAUGUGAAAGCCCCGGGCUCAACCUGGGAACUGCAUCCAAAACUGGCAAGCUAGAGUACGGUAGAGGGUGGUGGAAUUUCCUGUGUAGCGGUGAAAUGCGUAGAUAUAGGAAGGAACACCAGUGGCGAAGGCGACCACCUGGACUGAUACUGACACUGAGGUGCGAAAGCGUGGGGAGCAAACAGGAUUAGAUACCCCUGUAGUCCCUGUCUCUUAUACA